AGGAUAAUAGUUAAAUUAACAUUUAAUUUGCAUUUAAAAAAUACUGUAAACAGUUUAUCUUA
This 62-nucleotide transfer RNA is filed under the name Cryptolaemus montrouzieri. RNAcentral's name for it is "tRNA-Ala". The record is from RNAcentral. Lineage: Eukaryota; Metazoa; Arthropoda; Insecta; Coleoptera; Coccinellidae.